Molecule: non-coding RNA, 87 nt
Organism: Cicer arietinum (chickpea)
Lineage: Eukaryota; Viridiplantae; Streptophyta; Magnoliopsida; Fabales; Fabaceae
Source: RefSeq, a predicted model, not a curated record
AAUAUGGAUGAUGAUGAAGAUGAUGAGGAAGACGAAUGAAAGAAGCAAUGGCUCGAAGAAGAAAGUUAAAUAUUCGACAUCGAGCAA